Molecule: ribosomal RNA, 324 nt
Filed under: uncultured eukaryote
Lineage: Eukaryota
Description: partial 18S ribosomal RNA
Rfam family: Eukaryotic small subunit ribosomal RNA
Source: RNAcentral
CCCUUAGAUGUUCUGGGCCGCACGCGCGCUACACUGAUGCAUUCAACGAGUCUAAAACCUGCUCUGAUAGGGGUGGGUAAUCUUUUGAAUGUGCAUCGUGAUUGGGAUAGAUGAUUGCAAUUUUUCAUCUUCAACGAGGAAUGCCUAGUAAACGCAAGUCAUCAGCUUGCAUUGAUUACGUCCCUGCCCUUUGUACACACCGCCCGUCGCUCCUACCGAUUGGAUGAUCCGGUGAGCUAUUCGGACUUUCGCAUUGUCGAUUUUCGGCUUUACGAGGGAAAGUCUCGCGAACCUUAUCAUCUAGAGGAAGGAGAAGUCGUAACA